RNAcentral lists this ribosomal RNA (251 nucleotides) under uncultured bacterium. Its description in RNAcentral is "partial 16S ribosomal RNA". It matches the Rfam family "Bacterial small subunit ribosomal RNA", at positions 100 to 354 of the family's 1533-position model. The record is from RNAcentral.
CGGGGUGAGUAACACGUGGAUAAUCUGCCCUGCACAGGGGGACAACAGCUAGAAAUGGCUGCUAAUACCGCAUAAGCCUACAGCCUCGCAUGAGGGAGUAGGAAAAGAAAUUCGGUGCAGGAUGAGUCCGCGUCUGAUUAGCUAGUUGGAGGGGUAAGAGCCCACCAAGGCAACGAUCAGUAGCCGGCCUGAGAGGGCGACCGGCCACAUUGGGACUGAGACACGGCCCAAACUCCUACGGGAGGCAGCAG